RNAcentral lists this ribosomal RNA (505 nucleotides) under uncultured bacterium. Its description in RNAcentral is "bacterial SSU rRNA". It matches the Rfam family "Bacterial small subunit ribosomal RNA", at positions 8 to 526 of the family's 1533-position model. The record is from RNAcentral.
AGAGUUUGAUCCUGGCUCAGAAUGAACGUUGGCGGCGUGGAUUAGGCAUGCAAGUCGAGCGCGAAACGUAGCAAUACGUGGAGAGCGGCGAAAGGGAGAGUAAUACAUAGGUACGUACCCUUGGGUCUGGGAUAGCGGCGGGAAACUGCCGGUAAUACCAGAUAACGUCUCCGGACCAAAGGUGUGAUUCCACCUGAGGAGCGGCCUAUGUCCUAUUAGCUUGUUGGUGGGGUAACGGCCUACCAAGGCAAAGAUGGGUAUGGGGUGUGAGAGCAUGCCCCCACUCACUGGGACUGAGACACUGCCCAGACACCUACGGGUGGCUGCAGUCGAGAAUCUUCGGCAAUGGACGCAAGUCUGACCGAGCGACGCCGCGUGCGGGAUGAAGGCCUUCGGGUUGUAAACCGCUGUCGUAGGGGAGGAAAUUCUGGUGGGUUCUCCCAUCAGAUUGACUGAUCCUAGGAGGAAGGACCGGCUAAUCUCGUGCCAGCCGCCGCGGUAAUUC